GAGGACACAGCUCAGUGGUAGAGUGCCUGUUUAGCAUGCACCAGGUCCUGGGUUCAAUUCCCAGUACCUCCG
RNAcentral lists this transfer RNA (72 nucleotides) under Camelus bactrianus (Bactrian camel). It matches the Rfam family "tRNA". From Rfam's summary of the family: Transfer RNA (tRNA) molecules are approximately 80 nucleotides in length. Their secondary structure includes four short double-helical elements and three loops (D, anti-codon, and T loops). RNAcentral also lists the same sequence under 2 other names. Lineage: Eukaryota; Metazoa; Chordata; Mammalia; Artiodactyla; Camelidae. The record is from Rfam by way of RNAcentral.